This 73-nucleotide transfer RNA is filed under the name Felis catus (domestic cat). It matches the Rfam family "tRNA". Rfam says of the family: Transfer RNA (tRNA) molecules are approximately 80 nucleotides in length. Their secondary structure includes four short double-helical elements and three loops (D, anti-codon, and T loops). The record is from Rfam by way of RNAcentral. Lineage: Eukaryota; Metazoa; Chordata; Mammalia; Carnivora; Felidae. RNAcentral also lists the same sequence under 1 other name.
GCCUGGCUGGCUCAGUGAGGAGAGCAUGUGACUCUUGAUCUCAGAGUUGUGAGUUUGAACCCCACGUUGUGUG